GAUGAAGAAGGUAGCGAAAUGCGAUAAGUAAUGUGAAUUGCAGAAUUCAGUGAAUCAUCGAAUCUUUGAACGCACAUUGCGCCCGCCAGUAUUCUGGCGGGCAUGCCUGUCCGAGCGUCAUUUCAACCCUCGAACCCCUCCGGGGGGUCGGCGUUGGGGAUCGGCCCUUUACGGGGCCGGCCCCGAAAUACAGUGGCGGUCUCGCCGCAGCCUCUCCUGCGCAGUAGUUUGCACACUCGCAUCGGGAGCGCGGCGCGUCCACAGCCGUUAAACACCCCAAACUUCUGAAAUGUUGACCUCGGAUCAGGUAGGAAUACCCGCUGAACUUAAGCAUAUAAUAAGCGGAGGA
Molecule: unclassified non-coding RNA, 349 nt
Filed under: soil metagenome
Description: partial contains 5.8S ribosomal RNA, internal transcribed spacer 2, and large subunit ribosomal RNA
Rfam family: 5.8S ribosomal RNA (bases 1-120)
Source: RNAcentral